RNAcentral lists this non-coding RNA (655 nucleotides) under Pan troglodytes (chimpanzee). Lineage: Eukaryota; Metazoa; Chordata; Mammalia; Primates; Hominidae. The record is from RNAcentral.
CUGUGCUCCCAAUCCGCUUACGCUCAAGGAAGAACUGCCUGGAAGCCCUCCCUGGUACCAUACCCCAGCCGAUGAGUAUGUACCCCCAGAAGUACUUCCGCUCAGAGAAGAAGGAGACGGCAAGCAGGGUGUACAGGAAGGCCCAGAACCAGCCUGCUGUCAGGAUCAGAACAAAAGAGGAGGACUGCAUAUGUAUGGACCCACUCCAGAUGGCAUGGGGACGGGGGGAGUAGGAAAAGUGGCAUGAUGAGGAAAUGGAGGCACAGACUGAUUAGAAAACCAGCUCAAGGUCAUGUUGCUGCUCUCUCAUUCCUGUUGAGGGCUCUCUGGUGGAGCCUCUGUCUCACAGGUCACCUGCAGGCCAACACUCCCAGAAGCAGCUAGCACCAUGGUUGACCUCGUCCAGGUCCAGGGAAGGCCUCCCUCUCCAGGACUCCUUUAGAUUUCCCCAGCAUCCAGACCUCACCUGCCUAAGUGCUGUUGCCCUGGAAGCCACACAGUGAGCACGAGCUCCAUCUUGCCCCUUUACCAGCCAAUGGGGGUAAAGACAUUAGCUGGUAAGUCAUUUAAAACUUAUUGAAAGUAACACAGUUGUGUGAUGGAGUAUGAUACAGUUACUCGUAUAACUGUUAAAAGAUAGGAGACUUCAAGGAAA